GAUGAACGCUGGCGGCGUGCCUAAUACAUGCAAGUCGAGCGGUAAGGCCCUUCGGGGUACACGAGCGGCGGACGGCUGAGUAACACGUAGGAACGUACCCCAAACUGAGGGAUAAGCACCGGAAACGGUGUCUAAUACCGCAUGUGCCCUUCGGAGUAAAGCUACGGCGGUUUGGGAACGGCCUGCGCAUGAUUAGCUUGUUGGUGAGGUAAUGGCUCACCAAGGCGACGAUCAUUAGCUGGUCUGAGAGGAUGAUCAGCCAGACUGGGACUGAGACACGGCCCAGACUCCUACGGGAGGCAGCAGUAGGGAACUUUCCGCAAUGGGGGCAACCCUGAUGGAGCAACGCCGCGUGCAGGAUGAAUGCCUUCGGGUUGUAAACUGCUUUUAUCUGUGACGAUUAUGACGGUAGCAGAUGAAUAAGGAUCGGCUAACUCCGUGCCAGCAGCCGCAGUAA
This 457-nucleotide ribosomal RNA is filed under the name uncultured bacterium. RNAcentral's name for it is "partial 16S ribosomal RNA". It matches the Rfam family "Bacterial small subunit ribosomal RNA", at positions 28 to 523 of the family's 1533-position model. The record is from RNAcentral.